This 492-nucleotide ribosomal RNA is filed under the name uncultured bacterium. RNAcentral describes it as "partial 16S ribosomal RNA". It matches the Rfam family "Bacterial small subunit ribosomal RNA", at positions 29 to 507 of the family's 1533-position model. The record is from RNAcentral.
AGUGAACGCUGGCGGUAGGCCUAACACAUGCAAGUCGAACGGCAGCACAGUAAGAGCUUGCUCUUACGGGUGGCGAGUGGCGGACGGGUGAGGAAUACAUCGGAAUCUACUUUUUCGUGGGGGAUAACGUAGGGAAACUUACGCCAAUACCGCAUACGACCUACGGGUGAAAGCAGGGGAUCUUCUGACCUUGCGCGAUUGAAUGAGCCGAUGUCGGAUUAGCUAGUUGGCGGGGUAAAGGCCCACCAAGGCGACGAUCCGUAGCUGGUCUGAGAGGAUGAUCAGCCACACUGGAAGUGAGACACGGUCCAGACUCCUACGGGAGGCAGCAGUGGGGAAUAUUGGACAAAGGGCGGAAGCCUGAUCCAGCCAUACCGCGUGGGUGAAGAAGGCCUUCGGGUUGUAAAGCCCUUUUGUUGGGAAAGAAAAGCAGCAGGUUAAUACCCCGCUGUUCUGACGGUACCCAAAGAAUAAGCACCGGCUAACUUCGUG